RNAcentral lists this non-coding RNA (89 nucleotides) under Cryptomonas paramaecium. The record is from RNAcentral. Lineage: Eukaryota; Cryptophyceae; Cryptomonadales; Cryptomonadaceae.
AAAAAAGGGGGGAAAAAAUUGUUCUUUUCUGCGGAGAAAAAGAAAAAUAAAGUGUUUUUUUUUUUCUUUUUUUUCUUUUUUUUUUUUUU